AGGGGUAUAGCUCAGUGGUAGAGUGCAUGCUUAGUGCAAGAGGUCUUGGGUUCAAUCCCCAGUACCUCCA
Molecule: transfer RNA, 70 nt
Filed under: Camelus bactrianus (Bactrian camel)
Lineage: Eukaryota; Metazoa; Chordata; Mammalia; Artiodactyla; Camelidae
Also listed under: 2 other names
Rfam family: tRNA
About the family: Transfer RNA (tRNA) molecules are approximately 80 nucleotides in length. Their secondary structure includes four short double-helical elements and three loops (D, anti-codon, and T loops).
Source: Rfam by way of RNAcentral